This is a long non-coding RNA of Mauremys mutica (yellowpond turtle), 351 nucleotides long. RefSeq lists it as uncharacterized. NCBI's taxonomy places the organism in Eukaryota, Metazoa, Chordata, Testudines, Geoemydidae. The transcript is spliced from 3 exons. The record is from RefSeq and is a predicted model, not a curated record.
GUGCAGUCCAGUCAAACUCAUCAUAAAAUGGACACGAUGUCGUUGAGUUGCCAGAGGUGUGGUUGUGGUCCCUGGUUUUCCUCUACUCAGUCAUGAGCUGCUUAAUCUGUUCCCUGCACUAAUCACCAGUAUGGGAGGGUCCUGGGCAGAAGUGGAGAGGGAGAUGGAGCCUGUCUUGGAGAGGAUGAUGGAGAGCUAAGAAAGGACAAUGGUCUGAUGGGACAUUCAGUAGAAAGGUCAAAGAUGAUGGAGGACUCAGAAAAAUCACCCAGGUUGCCCCACCACAGAGCUCUCAAUGGCCUUCUCAAAAAAUAAAGCCUGGAAACUGGGAGAGAGUUGGAUAGAUUGCCU